Molecule: ribosomal RNA, 253 nt
Filed under: uncultured bacterium
Lineage: Bacteria
Description: partial 16S ribosomal RNA
Rfam family: Bacterial small subunit ribosomal RNA
Source: RNAcentral
UACGUAGGGGGCAAGCGUUAUCCGGAUUUACUGGGUGUAAAGGGAGCGUAGACGGUCCUGCAAGCCAGAUGUGAAAGCCCGGGGCUCAACCCCGGGACUGCAUUUGGAACUGUAAGGCUAGAGUGUCGGAGAGGCAGGCGGAAUUCCUAGUGUAGCGGUGAAAUGCGUAGAUAUUAGGAGGAACACCAGUGGCGAAGGCGGCCUGCUGGACGAUGACUCACGUUGAGGCUCGAAAGCGUGGGGAGCAAACAGG